ACUUAUAUAUUAUAACUAUUAUAUUUGAUUUCCAAUCAAAAGAUCUAAACAACUUAGUAUAAGUAAU
This 67-nucleotide transfer RNA is filed under the name Enicmus brevicornis. Its description in RNAcentral is "tRNA-Gly". The record is from RNAcentral. Lineage: Eukaryota; Metazoa; Arthropoda; Insecta; Coleoptera; Latridiidae.